GGCACCAGUUAUCACAACUUACCUCAUGCUAGGUACAUUUAAAAGUCACUGUCUCAAAAGUUCACCAAAUCAAAAUUUCAGUUUUGAACAUGAUUGCACGAAUAUCACCACUCAUGCAACUUCUUCGUAAACAUGACCGUUUUGGCCAAGUUUUACAACUACUGCUACGAAAAUUUGCAUCAUCUAAUCAAGUAU
Dendroctonus ponderosae (mountain pine beetle) is the source of this 195-nucleotide long non-coding RNA. RefSeq lists it as uncharacterized. The record is from RefSeq and is a predicted model, not a curated record. Lineage: Eukaryota; Metazoa; Arthropoda; Insecta; Coleoptera; Curculionidae. The transcript is spliced from 2 exons.